AGUACUGGACCGGUAGAACCCAGCCCGAGGUGGUGAGCCUCCGUGUUCGAGGUGACCGAGGCGGCAGGGACACUCCGAAAGUGACAAAAGCGAUUAGCAAGUUCCUGUGCAGAAUAUUUUGGACUUUGUACAUUUUCAGUAAAUCAGAGAGAACAAACUCCAUAACAAGAAGGGGAUGCUACUCUGCUCUCCUUAGCUUCCAGCCUCCCAUCUUCUUGAACCAAGAGUCAUGCCUUUGAUUAAGCUGCAGAGUCCCAAUGGAGAGAGAGUUAAUGAUACAACCAGAUACAUGUAACUACAGAGACUAUGUUGGAAGACUUGAAAUGAGAUGAAGUGAGAUGAAGGAGAUGAAGGUAAAAGAGAUGAUGACCCAGUUUCUCUACCAAAUAUUAAUGCGGCAAUAUUGAGGAACAAGCAGUUCAGGAAAGCCCCCACCACAAGGAUGACCCGGCCUUCUGGGGUGAUGGAAGCAUAGGAGAGUGAACGGAGAAUAUUCCCUGUAGGAACAAGAAUUACUGAAAGCCGAGCAAGGAACACUUUUGAACUUAUUCCGUCUUACAGACUUAGAUGCCAAAGAUUGACUUGACGCACUCUGCAAAGCUGUGAGCAACAGCAUGAUGGUGAGAGCU
This 629-nucleotide long non-coding RNA is filed under the name Meriones unguiculatus (Mongolian gerbil). RNAcentral describes it as "lncRNA (ENSMUGG00000021190.1)". The record is from RNAcentral. Lineage: Eukaryota; Metazoa; Chordata; Mammalia; Rodentia; Muridae.